This 721-nucleotide ribosomal RNA is filed under the name uncultured bacterium. RNAcentral describes it as "bacterial SSU rRNA". It matches the Rfam family "Bacterial small subunit ribosomal RNA", at positions 761 to 1482 of the family's 1533-position model. The record is from RNAcentral.
UAGGGGAGCGAAAGGGAUUAGAUACCCCUGUAGUCCUAGCUGUAAACGAUGGAUACUAGGUGUUGGGCGUAUCGACCCGUCCAGUACCGUAGCUAACGCGUUAAGUAUCCCGCCUGGGGAGUACGCACGCAAGUGUGAAACUCAAAGGAAUUGACGGGGGCCCGCACAAGCGGUGGAGGAUGUGGUUUAAUUCGAUGCAACGCGAAGAACCUUACCAAGGCUUGACAUCCUGCGAAUCCUUCAGAAAUGAGGGAGUGCCUUCGGGAGCGCAGAGACAGGUGGUGCAUGGCUGUCGUCAGCUCGUGUCGUGAGAUGUUGGGUUAAGUCCCGCAACGAGCGCAACCCUCGUUCUUAGUUGCCAUCAUUAAGUUGGGCACUCUAGGGAGACUGCCGUGGACAACACGGAGGAAGGUGGGGACGACGUCAAGUCAUCAUGCCCCUUACGUCUUGGGCUACACACGUCCUACAAUGCUACAGACAGAGGGCAGCGAGCGCGCGAGUGCAAGCAAAUCCCAUAAACUGUGGCACAGUUCAGAUUGCAGGCUGCAACUCGCCUGCAUGAAGGCGGAAUCGCUAGUAAUCGCCGGUCAGCAUACGGAGGUGAAUACGUUCCCGGGCCUUGUACACACCGCCCGUCACACCAUGGGAGUUGGCCACGCCCGAAGUCGUUACUCUAACCUUAGGGAGGAGGGCGCCGAAGGCAGGGCUGAUGACUGGGGUG